GCUCCUCCAUCCCACGACCUGCCCCACCCACACCUCUCUCCCCCGUGCUCCUCCAUCCCAUGGCGUCGCCGCCUCCCUCCCCGCGCCCCACUGCAGCACCGCCGCCGCCCUCGCGCACCCGCGCAGCCGUCUCCCCAGUGCCCUCGCGACCCAUGCGCCUCCUCGCCGCCCAGGCCAUGGAUCCGGCCAUGCCGCGGCGGACAGGCGACGGAUCCAGCCCCGCUGCACCGCCCAGGCGCCGGGGUCGAGCGUCGCCGUUCCCCACCGUUGUCCCGGCGACUGCCCCCAACCCCCUCCAACUCCCCUCGUCCUUGCCCCCCGAGCAGCAACAUGGAUCCGGCGGGCGGUGCACACCCUUACCUCCACCAGCCCGAGCGCCCCGCUGGCGUGCCUCCAGCACUGGCUCUGUGCGGCGCAGCAGUCCACUCCUCCCCACGCCGCCCACACCCUCCCAUCUACCGGAUCAGGUCGCGGCUCCCCUCGUGCUCGUAUCUUCCUCCCCUCCGGUAGCUCCACUCCGGCCCCAGCGGAACCACUCCUCUAGCUCAAUAUCCAUGGAGGUGAAGCCUCGAUGGUGCUCACGUCUGUGAAAGCAGUGUGCUCAGGUGGAAACAUAUAUUUUUGUUUCUGCUCACUGAUGGUUCCCCGUGCAGUCCGACGACCACGGACGUGUAGCUCGCAGGCAUGAGAUGUGGUUCAGUGCUCCUGUGGGUGUAGUUCAUGAGCGCGUCGGCGACGAUGGCAUCAACGCAGUGCACUCCGGUAGUUGCCGUGGUGCACUCUGGUGGCCGUUGUGGUACAGCUCAGUGGCUGGCCAGCUUGGUGACGCGACAGGUGCAGUCAGCUGAGCAGACACUCUUCUCCAAGCGAGAAGAGGAGGGCGAUCUUGGUUCCUGUCCACGUGCAGUUUCAGGGAGUAAAUUGCACAGAAGUACCACAAUUGGGGCAUUAGAAGCAGAUUGGUACCAAGAUUGGUAAUUUUUACGUGUCCGUACCAAGUCUGGGGCAAGCCGUUACAAAAAGGUCUAAACAGCGUAUAAACGUGUAUUGACGGUGUAUCUGACCGGUAGGGUUCAGUGAGGUAGGGUGCGGGCACGGGAGGCGCACAGGAGGCCGAAUCCGGCGAGGUAGGGUGCGGGCACGGGAGGCGCACAGGAGGCCGGCUCCGGUGAGGUAGGGCGCGGGCACGGGAGGCGCAGAGGAGGCCGGAUCCGGCGAGGUAGGGCGCGGGCACGGGAGGCGCAGAGGAGGCCGGAUCCGGCGAGGUAGGGCGCAGGAACGGGAGGCGCAGAGGAGGCCGGAUCCGGCGAAGUAGGGCGCUGGGGCGUUGCGGUCAAAGGGGAGGAGGCGGCGCGAUGCAGGGGCUCCAGCGUCGAGGAACGAAGGGGAUGGACGGAUCUGAGGCUCUCCAGCGCGGAUUGGCCGGGAACCAAGGCGGCGCGUCGGGUUGGAGCUACGGGAGGCCAUCCAUGGCGGCUUGACGUCGGGCUCCUGUCCAAUGGGCAAGAGAGAGAGAGAGCUCCGGGUGAGAGAGAGAGAAGAGAAAAUGGAAGAAAGAAGAAAAGGAGAGAGGCAGGGUGCGGGGAAAAGAAGGAGAGAGGCAGGGUGCGGGGAUGGCCUGGUCCUGGUCGCUGGUGGUGAUGCUCGAACGGCCGGCCGGCGGCGAGGCGAGGAGGAGGCUAGGGCGGGGCGAGGGUUAUGGGAAGCGAAGGAGCUUGGGAUCGAGGGGCUCCUCCCUCGAUCCAGAUCGUGCGCCACCGCGGUGGAGACGACGAACAACAGCGCCAGCGAAAUAGGGGGGUUUCUGCGAAAAACAUGCCACGUCGGCACCCGACAGGCGGGGUGCGCCGGUCAGAUACACCGUCAAUACGUGUUUAUACGCUGUUUAGACCUUUUUGUAACGGCUUGCCCCAGACUUGGUGCUGACACGUAAAAAUUACCAAUCUUGGUACCAAUCUGCUUGUAAUGGCCCAAUUGUGGUACUUCUGUGCAAUUUACUCAGUUUCAGGCGAUGCGCCCAUGCGGUGUGGAGCACAUGUGCAUGUAGUCCAUCGGCCAUGCAUGUAGUAUAGGUCGCAUAGUGGUGUAAUUCAUCGCUGAACCUGUGUUGUAGUUUUAGGUCGCAUAGUGGCGUGUGUGAUGCAGUUUUGCGUCUCCUCUCGGGUGGACACAUAGCUGCACCCCAGAUCGCCCAGUACUGCAACCCCUUCCUUCCUUUACUUAUUUUUUGCAGGAAAGAAAGUGGUGCAUUUCGGUUGGAUGUCCCGUUGGAGUUUGACCUUGUGCCAUUUCAGAUUAUACUGUGUAGUGCGACAUGAGUUUCUCUGCUUGGGGUGCUCUGGUACAGUAUGUACUUGUACGGCUGUGUAAAAAAUUAUGAAUUUGUGUGUUGAGCAUUCUGAAGCACUGAUGUUAUUUUUUUACUUCGAGAAAACAUGACGUGGUCCAUUA
Long non-coding RNA from Triticum aestivum (bread wheat), 2451 nucleotides. RefSeq lists it as uncharacterized. NCBI's taxonomy places the organism in Eukaryota, Viridiplantae, Streptophyta, Magnoliopsida, Poales, Poaceae. The transcript is spliced from 2 exons. The record is from RefSeq and is a predicted model, not a curated record.